AUGCUCGCUUCAGCAGCACAUAUACUAAAAUUGGAACAAUACAGAGAAGUUAGCAUGGCCCCUGUGCAAGGCUGACACGCAAAUUCGUGAAGCAUUCCAUAUUUUU
This 106-nucleotide small nuclear RNA is filed under the name Meriones unguiculatus (Mongolian gerbil). Lineage: Eukaryota; Metazoa; Chordata; Mammalia; Rodentia; Muridae. The record is from RNAcentral.